AGGGUUUGAUCAUGGCUCAGAACGUACGCUGGCGGCACGCCUAACACAUGCAAGUCGAACGCAGUAGCAAUACUGAGUGGCAAACGGGUGAGUAUAAUGUGGGAAUCUGCCUUUUGGUUUGGAAUAACACGGGGAAACCUGUGCUAAUACCGAAUAAGCCUUUACAGGGAAAGUUUUAAUGCCGAAAGAUGAGCCUGCACUUGAUUAGCUAGUUGGUAAGGUAAAAGCUUACCAAGGCAACGAUCAAUAGCUGUUCUUAGAGGAAGACCAGCCACAUUGGGACUGAGACACGGCCCAGACUCCUACGGGAGGCAGCAGUGGGGAAUCUUGCACAAUGGGGGGAAACCCUGAUGCAGCGAUGCCGCGUGAGUGAAGAAGGCCCUUGGGUUGUAAAACUCUUUCGUCGGGGAAGAAAAUGACUGUACCCGAAUAAGAAGGUCCGGCUAACUUCGUGCCAGCCGCCGCGGUAAUAC
Molecule: ribosomal RNA, 473 nt
Filed under: uncultured bacterium
Lineage: Bacteria
Description: bacterial SSU rRNA
Rfam family: Bacterial small subunit ribosomal RNA
Source: RNAcentral